Molecule: transfer RNA, 69 nt
Filed under: Ictidomys tridecemlineatus (thirteen-lined ground squirrel)
Lineage: Eukaryota; Metazoa; Chordata; Mammalia; Rodentia; Sciuridae
Description: Spermophilus tridecemlineatus (thirteen-lined ground squirrel) tRNA
Rfam family: tRNA
About the family: Transfer RNA (tRNA) molecules are approximately 80 nucleotides in length. Their secondary structure includes four short double-helical elements and three loops (D, anti-codon, and T loops).
Source: Rfam by way of RNAcentral
GGAGUUGUGGCUCAGUGAUAGAGCACUUGCUUAGCAUGUGAGAGGCCCUGGGUUGGAUCCUCAGCACCA